This 7140-nucleotide long non-coding RNA is filed under the name Elaeis guineensis (African oil palm). Its description in RNAcentral is "long non-coding RNA (EGUI_LNC020976)". The record is from RNAcentral. Lineage: Eukaryota; Viridiplantae; Streptophyta; Magnoliopsida; Arecales; Arecaceae.
CCAUUGCAAUUACAUGGAAUAUAACCUUGGUGUUCUGACUUCUGAUUGCAGUAUCAUUCUCAUAUUUAGACAAAGUUUUAUUUUUUUUCAAAGAGAAAAAUAGAAACCUUGAAAGAUUUGACAAAAAAAUUUAAAGAAAAGAAUUUGGUAGGGGCCGCGCGGACGCGUACCCCCUCUACCACAAAUUAUGACGUCCACUCUCCCACUUGGGGAGAUGGUAGAGCAGCGCUCCCGCCAAGUGCAAUGCGGGCCGCUACCCUAGGCCGCGGGCCUUCUUGAUCACCCAUCGACCCCGUCCAGGUAAGUAUAUUUCUCAUCAGCCCAUCAACUAAUUUUAUAUAGAACGGAGACCCCUCUUGUUUCGUAAGCAAACGAUGUGGGACUAAUAAAGCAACAAAGAAUGCCAUUAAUAAAUAAAUAGAGAACAGAAGAUUACUGGGGAAAUUAGAUCGCUAUAUUCAUAAAUCAAAUAAACAGCACAAAUUUCAGCUCCUUUUCGAAUACCAGACGUAAUAAGAAGAACUUUUGGGGUUUAAGACCCUUAGCACCUUUCAACAAUGGCCAUACUAGUGGCUAAUGUUUAGCUAAUUUCAUCUUUAUGAUUUUUUGACACUAGAGCAUCUCCGACCAUUCUUGCUAUGUCCGUAUGCUUCGCAAGAAGAAAGAACAGUGGAUGUUCAACUACUGAGACUCUAGAAUGAUUUCAAGAUUUGAGCAUCCACUUGAGUUUGUCGUGGAUACGGCAGUGACGAGUACAAGCUUGGUUUCAAUACGAGAUGUGGCGAUUCAGUUAAGGUGAUUUUUUUGCCUUUUUUGUCCAAUCGAAAGGGAGGCAAGUGAGAGCCAACCGGCCGGCUUUUGUUGAUUGAUUAAAAGCUGUUUACGAGUGAAGAAAAGUAGGGGAAAAAAAAACAUAGAGCAAAGAAAAUACCAAAAAAAAUAAAAGUUAAUGGAAGGAGAUCUUAGAACUCCCCACAGUGACAAUAUGAGAGAAAAAAUUUCGGCGCUCGUCCGGGUAUCCUCUCAGCAACAAAAAUGCCCAACCAUUUCAGCGUUAUGUAAAGAAUUGAUAAGAAUUUUCAGAAGAUUCUUUUCCCUCAAAAAAAAAAAAAGAACAGAAUAUCUCCACUGCAUGAGAAUCAAAUAUUUAGCAGUGUACUAAGAAUUUUUUGAUUUCAGGAUCUAUCCAAAUGCUAGCAAAGGCUUAUGAUUACAUUGAAUUGACCGUUCAUUGAGUGAGUGAAGGCCAGCUGAAGCCUAUGUUUCUUUCCUUCCAACAAACCCACAUGCAAUGGCCACAAAUAUCUUAGGAUAAUAGGCUGAAAAAGUUUGGAUAAAUUUUUUUUCAUUUCCUCCGAUCAAUACAAAGCUUUGCCUAAGAGGGUUGAAGAUGUAACACUCCAAGAGAACAACAAAUCCCUUUCCAAAUGGUAAAGAAGAUUGGCCAUGUCGAGAGCAAGUGAUCCACAACCUAUGAUGAUCCAGCCCAUUGGUCCAUUUGAUCAGCCUGAUAGAUCUGAGGCUCUUGGGUCUCUUUACCCCUGCAUAGAUCUGAGGCUCCAAAAAGACAUCUGCCUGCACAUAGAACCACCAGGAAACAUCAACUUUUGAUAGAUCAUUAACAUCUAAUGAAGGAGUUUUGACGAUUGCAGCCAGACAACAGUCAACUGUUUUUUGUUGAACGGCUUCAAGCAUUAACUCAGCUGACCAUGAACUUAGAAAAAAACCGCUUGUGGAACAGACGUCAGGUUACCCGAUCAAAGAAACACAGCUUUGAUUUUUCAGAUAUUAAGUAAAUAAAAUAUCUUUUUAGCAUCAUGAAAUAUCAUCGGUGAGAAAUAAAAUAAUAAAAAUUACAAUUAACUGCUUAAAGUAAAAGAGUAUAGAAAGGGAGACCACCACGGCUUGAAUUAGAUGAUUAUGGAAACCAAAAUUAAAAUUUCCAGGCAACAUAAAAUGUUACACAUUGAAGUCUGUUGAAGGAUUAAAAUCAAAAUGUGUUUCUAAAGGAAUUGGGACUGAACAAUAGCAACAAUAUAUUGAGCAAUUACUAUCUUUGGAAUGAUUACAAGGAGAUUGCCAGGGAAUAUUAAAUUUUACCAGUUAAGUCUCUGGAAGGAUUCAGAUCCAUAUGCAAUUCUAAGGGAAUUGACACUUCGAAAAAAUAACAACAUAGUGAGCAUUAUUUUUUGGAUGAUUACAGGAAGGUUUGAAAAUAUAGUUCAUAGGAAUGUAUUUUCAAUCUCCACACGAGUUGUACAGAUUUUAUUCAUCCUCUAGUUAACCUCAUUCUUAAAACAUGUUGCAAAAGCAAACAAAAUCUUUAGAAGACAUACCAAUUGGACUUCAUCUCCCGUAGCAUAAUUUCCGGCACGGUCUUUUAACAGUUUCUCAAGGGCUGAAACACAAACAAAUAAGCACAAAAUCAGACAUAUAAAAGCUAAGCCACAAUUGUCCGACCUAAAUCAAGCUCAUUUGACCACUGAAAACAACUAUAGAGCAGUCGAGAAGAACAUUAUACGACAAGAAUAAAAAGAAUGCCAAGCGAACUAAGGUGGUCACUUUUGUGCUAUCAACUGCAUAAUUUAUUCUUGAUAUUAAGACUUGAACUAUGACAUUGUUCUUCGCUGAAUUCUACUAUUUCCCAGGAAAACCUAAUGAAGGAUAUGAUUCAUUUCUCAAAAAUCCAUAUCUCAAUGAAGCUUGUAUAAGAAGAUUUCAACACUUCUGCUUGUAUAGGAUUUCAAAUCAAAGUGAUCAAUAGUAUCCAAAUCCAAGAGAAAAACAUUGUCACACAUAUAUACAAAAAUUAUAUGAUGCAUAGAUUCUUUGUUGUUAUAAUGAGCCAAUAUGAGCAUCACUUAGACCUUAUAGAGCAAGAAUUUCUUUUCGAAUAUUUAAAACGGCAACCUAGAUAAUUCAAUGACAACAAAGGGACACAUCAUUAGGUUAACAUAACAUUUUCUGAGACAAAGUAUUAUGAAAAGCAAACUUCGCAUUGCAAUGACUCACAAGAUUACUGUAAGAACAACAGCACCUGAUGACAGUUCUGCCUGAUGCCAGGAACACAAAAGGUGCAAGAAUUUCAUCUUAAAGUAGAGAAGUAUAAUAAGAAGGAUAGCAAGAAGAUAGUUUUGUUAAUUAAUAAAUUCUAAAGGUUCCAGAGUACUCUAUUUUCAUAAAAUAGUUGAGGAAUUCAUUGAAAUCAAGGUAAAUCUAGAAUCAGAAAAUUCCUUAACAUGUAAUGAAAGGCUAGCAUGGUGUUUUAGGAUUUUGUAGUGGAUAAUAUAUUCCUCUAACCAUACCUUAUUUGUAACAAGCAAGCUAAGAAGCUUGAGAUUAAGCUUGAAAUUUUCUAUUUUUAUUUUUCAAAAAAAAGGAAUCAUUCAAAAUAUUUUCCCUCUGUCAAGGAUGUGAUAAUUCCAUCAGUCCUACAAGAUCUCCUAGAGUCUAGUCUAGCACAAAACAACAAUGUAACAGGGCAUUGGCUACAGAGAUUCAUGCACAAACAAGCAUAAUGCAAGCACUAGACUCACAAGGAGCAUAGUAAAAGCUAUAUCAGGGUAAGUUGUAUUAAAGCAAGGUUGGUGCUGCAAGAGCACACCAUACCAACCCAGAUAAACAUACGUAGGUGAGGCAAAGUGUAAGAAAGAAGGGUCUCCUAAAGAUAAUAGAAUCUCAUGAGUCAAGGAGGGAAAACAACAUGAAGUGUCAUGCUUGUUAGUAGCCCUAAUAGAGAAUGUAAUUUCUUGACAAAAUCUUGACGGUCAAAAAUGGUAGUUCUUGCUACAACAGCAAGAAUGGUUCAGGGACAUCUUUUAGCUUUUGAUCUUUAAUAAUUCCUACCAUUCUCUUUAUAUUUCCUGCAAUGUUCAAAGUGGUGACAAAAGCAAUACAAAAUUCAUAUGUAAGUCCAUUCCAGAUUACACUCAACAAGUAAGCACAUCUAUAUCAGUUAUAGAGGAACAACAAUGUUUACUGAUAACUAAACAAACCUCUGAAGCCUUUAUUGAUAUGGUGCUGAGCCCAUUUAAGUCUCUCAUCAGUAUUGAACUUUGACUCUAUCCAACUCUGAAAAGUGAUUACCAACACAAAGAAAGACCAAAUUUCAGGUCAAAUGCAUCGAAGGAGCAUAAUGGUGAUUGUGGGAAUAAAUACUGAGUUUUAAAAGCAGCAAUCCAGCUUUUUUUAACUCACCAGGACAGUAAUACUCUGAAGAGGCUGGAUACUGGAACUCACAAUACUUGCUACCUAAAAUAAGUUAUAGAAAUUUGUGCUUGUCAAAAUUGCAAACAAAAGGUAUAUGGCUUGAUUAUGCAGACAAAAGACUAUACACUUCUGAAAUAAAUCUCAAUAAUGGAAACUGAAUGGCUUGACUUUGCAGAUGAAGACUAUACAAACAUUCUAUCUGCAUUCAAAGUGUUUUGCAAUAAUCAGUCCUACAACCUAACUUCCUCAUAAUACUUAGUAUCAACUAAAUACUUACAUUGACUUAACUAAGUGUCACCUAAUAGUAUCAGCUUAACCUUCAAAAUCUUGAUCUUGCUAUCAUUUAUGUUUUACCUUCAAUUUUCCACAAAUACUUAGUAUCAACUAAACUAGGUUAGUAUGCUACUUCAUGCUAUAAGACUAGCAGCAUGCAGCACUAAUAGCAUGGCCAUUGAAGCCUUACCUGGAGAUUGAGGGCCUUCUUUUUAAGAUCUUGUGGCAGCAGUGGAUAUUGAGGAUACUUAUCUUCCAAAUACUGUCCAAGCCAAAGGCAAACUGUUACCAUCACCAUCGUGUUUAAAAGGCAACCAGGUAAAAGCCAAUAAGUCAUAGGACCAUCAUUUACUCACCAAUAUGAUUGCAAACGAGUCAGAAACCACUGUAUCCCCAUCCACCAAAGCCGGAACAUAUUUAACUGGAUUGAUCUUCACAAAUUCUAGAAUUUAUUUGUAGAAAAAUGAAUAAAAAUCCCAUUGUGAACAAAAACUAUUAGGCUAUCAAACAAAUAGAGCAACUCUAGCUCAGCCGAGAAAAGCUCGAAACAAGCUCAAUUUGAAGCUAAAGAAAUAAAGCUUGAACCAUAAAAAUAGGCCCAAAGUUAAUUUCAAGCCAAACCAAAAAUUAACCUAGCUCAAUCAAGCUCGGCUCAAUAUGGCUUCCAGAUAUUUAUAUUUUAUAUAUUUAAUAUUAUAUAUAGAUUAUUAGCCAUUGGAUUAAAGCUUGAAUUACUGUAUUUUAUUUGUUCUUUCAAUCAGCUAACUGUUAAUACGUGCUCGAACCAUCAAGCUUGAAUCAAGUUAUUAUUCCAGCUUGAACAGUGCUUCGAUUUUAGCUCGCUAUAGACUUAUUGAGCUGCUCAAUUAGGCUUGUGUUCAGCUAGGUUCAAAAUUAAGCUCGAAAUAAUGGUAAAUAAAUCAAGUUUUAUCUCAAAAUUCAAGCUCCAAAUUAAUUUCAAACCAAGCUUGAUCAAGCUCAACUUGAUUGCAGCCCUGAAAACUAUUUUAAGAAAACGCAAAGAAAAACAUAUGUAUCAUCUAAUUAACAUCAUGAUUAUUUGAAGUAAAUGGUAGGUGAUUUUGGCGUCUUUUUGAUUGCGAGAUGGCACGCUUAGAUAUAAACAGAGCCUAAUGGGCACCAAAGCCCGUCUGCUUAUAAGAAGCUUCAGUGCAGCAUGCCAAUGUUGAAGUCAGUAGAGUAACGACAACCAUAUGAUAUUAGCAGCUUCAACCUUGUUAGGUUUGCAUAAAUAGUUCCGGUAAAUAUUUUGGUUGGAUAAUAGCUUGUAUGGUACAAAGAUAAUUAGAUUAUUGGUCAAAGAUGAGGAAGGAAAAAAAGUAGUGGUAGGAGAGAGUGACAAAUUAGAUCUUUGGCAGAGGUGAGAUAUAUUUCUGGUAAAGCUUUUGAUUGGAUAUUAGCUAUUAUGGUGCAAAAAUAAUAAGAGUAUGUUUGGAUGCAAACAUAAACUAUUCUGGGGUAAGUAGAAUUUUGGCUGAAAAUAAGAAACAAAGUUGUGGUUGGAGAGACCGAUACAUUGGAUCUUUGGCCAGAGAUGAGCUAAGCACAAACGUCAUAAGAAAAAAAAAAGGAAAUAUCAAUUGUAAAUAGGAAUAACCCCACUUCAAGUUUUAUUUUCUAAUUCCAAAGGGAAGAUAAGAUGGAUGCAGCUGAGCCACUUGCUUCAUAAGGGCCAACUACUAAUAAUAAAUCAGUCUCUGGAGAGAAUUUCCUUAACUUGUUUGUAGCCAGAAUGUAGCAUGUACGAAGAAAUGGUAUAUUUGCCUGAGAACAAAGGAACAUGCACAACAGCAAGCUAUGACUUAAAAAAUCCAUCCUUCACCAUUCUUUACUGGUUCUCCUUUGCGAUUUAUUUCAUGAGGAUUUUAACCUACCAGCACAACCUUGGAUCAUGCUAAUGCUGCCAAUAGACAUGCUCAGUAGUCUGUAGGACUUGAGGGGGACAUAGGCUGGCUUUGAGGCCUGUCAGGCAGGGUUGCCAUUGGACCAGGCUAGAGAUGAGGAUACAAAGCUUUUGGGAGUGGUCUGGGCUGACCUGGCCCUCUUCAGGCCUAGCUUGAGGCCAUUGUAAGAUGACAGAAAACUGGAUGAGUCCGAGUCCUGGUAUACUGUAGAAGCAUCUAAUGCUUGGCUUCUCUUCAUGUUUUGCCAAUACAUUGUUAAAGUGGGCUCAUGAAUGCCUCCCUAAGUUCGAUUUCUGUUGCUAAUUAAAAUGCUUCUGUAACUUUUGCCAAAUUGUUGUUCUUACAUUGCUUAUAGAAUAUAGAACGAUUUAGUUUUCUCUCAGCGGCCAGAUCCAGUCAUGUAGUCAUGCUCUUCAGAACUGAUAUUAUUUCAAUUUUCAGGUAUUAUUAGUUUGAUAUAUAAGAAUUUAAAAAAUCUCGGUGUUCCAUUGCAAUUACAUCUUAAGGCAGUAUCCCGUUGUCCGAAAGAUUUGAACAAAAAAAAGGCAAAAGAAGUAAAAAUUUAAAGAAAAGAAUUUGGUAGGGGCCGCGCGGACGCGUACCCCCGCUACCACAAAUUAUGACGUCCACUCUCCCACUUGGGGAGAUGGUAGAGCAGCGCUCCCGCCAAGUGCGAUGCGGGCCGCUACCCUAGGCCGCGGGCCUUCUUGAUCACCCAUCGACCCCGUCCAGG